RNAcentral lists this ribosomal RNA (433 nucleotides) under uncultured bacterium. RNAcentral's name for it is "partial 16S ribosomal RNA". It matches the Rfam family "Bacterial small subunit ribosomal RNA", at positions 29 to 507 of the family's 1533-position model. The record is from RNAcentral.
AACGAACGCUGGCGGCAGGCCUAACACAUGCAAGUCGAGCGAGACCUUCGGGUCUAGCGGCGGACGGGUGAGUAACGCGUGGGAACGUGCCCUUUUCUACGGAAUAGCCUCGGGAAACUUACCUUAAUACCGUAUACGCCCUUUGGGGGAAAGAUUUAUCGGAGAAGGAUCGGCCCGCGUUGGAUUAGGUAGUUGGUGGGGUAAUGGCCUACCAAGCCUACGAUCCAUAGCUGGUUUGAGAGGAUGAUCAGCCACACUGGGACUGAGACACGGCCCAGACUCCUACGGGAGGCAGCAGUGGGGAAUCUUAGACAAUGGGGGCAACCCUGAUCUAGCCAUGCCGCGUGAGUGAUGAAGGCCUUAGGGUUGUAAAGCUCUUUCAGCUGGGAAGAUAAUGACGGUACCAGCAGAAGAAGCCCCGGCUAACUCCGUG